RNAcentral lists this ribosomal RNA (391 nucleotides) under uncultured bacterium. RNAcentral's name for it is "partial 16S ribosomal RNA". It matches the Rfam family "Bacterial small subunit ribosomal RNA", at positions 523 to 918 of the family's 1533-position model. The record is from RNAcentral.
AUACAUAGGGGGCAAGCGUUAUCCGGAAUUAUUGGGCGUAAAGCGUGCGUAGGCGGUUUAUUAAGUCUGAUGUUAAAUCCCACAGCUCCACUGUGGGCUGGCAUUGGAAACUGGUAGACUUGAGUGCGGGAGAGGUAAGUGGAAUUCCAAGUGGAGCGGUGGAAUGCGUAGAUAUUUGGAGGAACACCAGUGGCGAAGGCGGCUUACUGGGCCGUUACUGACGCUGAGGCACGAAAGCGUGGGGAGCAAACAGGAUUAGAUCCCCUGGUAGUCCACGCCGUAAACGAUGAGCACUAAGUGUCGGAUGAAUUUUCGGCGCUGCAGUUAACACAAUAAGUGCUCCGCCUGGGGAGUACGGUCGCAAGACUGAAACUCAAAGGAAUUGACGGGG